ACGCUGGCGGCGUGCUUAACACAUGCAAGUCGAACGCUGAUGACCUGGCUUUUGUUGGGUUGGAUGAGUGGCGAACGGGUGAGUAACACGUGAGUAACCUGCCCUCUUCUUUGGGAUAACGCCCGGAAACGGGUGCUAAUACUGGAUAUUCACUGGCCUUCGCAUGGGGGUUGGUGGAAAGGUUUGUUCUGGUGGGGGAUGGGCUCGCGGCCUAUCAGCUUGUUGGUGGGGUGAUGGCCUACCAAGGCUUUGACGGGUAGCCGGCCUGAGAGGGUGACCGGUCACAUUGGGACUGAGAUACGGCCCAGGCUCCUACGGGAGGCAGCAGUGGGGAAUAUUGCACAAUGGGCGAAAGCCUGAUGCAGCGACGCCGCGUGAGGGAUGGAGGCCUUCGGGUUGUAAACCUCUUUCGCUCAUGGUCAAGCCGCAACUGUGGGUUGUGGUGAGGGUAGUGGGUAAAGAAGCGCCGGCUAACUACGUGCCAGCAGCCGCGGUAAUACGUAGGGCGCGAGCGUUGUCCGGAAUUAUUGGGCGUAAAGGGCUUGUAGGCGGUUGGUCGCGUCUGCCGUGAAAUUCUCUGGCUUAACUGGGGGCGUGCGGUGGGUACGGGCUGACUUGAGUGCGGUAGGGGAGACUGGAACUCCUGGUGUAGCGGUGGAAUGCGCAGAUAUCAGGAAGAACACCGGUGGCGAAGGCGGGUCUCUGGGCCGUUACUGACGCUGAGGAGCGAAAGCGUGGGGAGCGAACAGGAUUAGAUACCCUGGUAGUCCACGCUGUAAACGUUGGGCACUAGGUGUGGGGGCCACCCGUGGUUUCUGCGCCGUAGCUAACGCUUUAAGUGCCCCGCCUGGGGAGUACGGCCGCAAGGCUAAAACUCAAAGGAAUUGACGGGGGCCCGCACAAGCGGCGGAGCAUGC
RNAcentral lists this ribosomal RNA (917 nucleotides) under uncultured bacterium. RNAcentral describes it as "bacterial SSU rRNA". It matches the Rfam family "Bacterial small subunit ribosomal RNA", at positions 33 to 942 of the family's 1533-position model. The record is from RNAcentral.